RNAcentral lists this ribosomal RNA (490 nucleotides) under uncultured bacterium. Its description in RNAcentral is "partial 16S ribosomal RNA". It matches the Rfam family "Bacterial small subunit ribosomal RNA", at positions 28 to 507 of the family's 1533-position model. The record is from RNAcentral.
GAUGAACGCUAGCUACAGGCUUAACACAUGCAAGUCGCGGGGCAGCAUGGGGGUUGCUUGCAAUCCCCGAUGGCGACCGGCGCACGGGUGAGUAACGCGUAUCCAACCUGCCCUUCACCACGGGAUAACCCGGCGAAAGUCGGACUAAUACCGUAUGUUGUCCAUUGACGGCAUCCGAUUUGGACGAAAGGGUUGGCGGUGAAGGAUGGGGAUGCGUCCGAUUAGCUGGACGGCGGGGUGACGGCCCACUGUGGCGACGAUCGGUAGGGGUUCUGAGAGGAAGGUCCCCCACACUGGAACUGAGACACGGUCCAGACUCCUACGGGAGGCAGCAGUGAGGAAUAUUGGUCAAUGGGCGUAAGCCUGAACCAGCCAAGUAGCGUGCAGGAUGACGGCCCUAUGGGUUGUAAACUGCUUUUAUGCGGGGAUAAAGUGGCCCACGUGUGGGUUUUUGCAGGUACCGCAUGAAUAAGGACCGGCUAAUUCCGUG